Molecule: ribosomal RNA, 340 nt
Filed under: Pseudophilautus mooreorum
Lineage: Eukaryota; Metazoa; Chordata; Amphibia; Anura; Rhacophoridae
Description: partial small subunit ribosomal RNA
Rfam family: Bacterial small subunit ribosomal RNA
Source: RNAcentral
AACGCCAGGGUAUUACGAGCUUAGCUUAAAACCCAAAGGACUUGACGGUACCCCACCCAACUAGAGGAGCCUGUUCUGUAAUCGAUAACCCCCGAUAUACCCGACCAUUUCUUGCCAUCAGCCUGUAUACCUCCGUCGUAAGCCUACCAUGUGAACGCACAACAGUGGGCCUAAAGGCUAAACACCACAACGUCAGGUCAAGGUGCAGCCUAUGAAAUGGAAGCAAUGGGCUACAAUUUUUAACCUAGAACAAACAAAGUACUACAUGAAAUGUAGUUACAAAGAAGGAUUUAGUAGUAAAUAGGGAAUAGAGAGCCUUAUUAAAUCUAGCCCUGGGGUA